RNAcentral lists this ribosomal RNA (509 nucleotides) under uncultured bacterium. RNAcentral describes it as "bacterial SSU rRNA". It matches the Rfam family "Bacterial small subunit ribosomal RNA", at positions 1 to 507 of the family's 1533-position model. The record is from RNAcentral.
GUCACGAGUUUGAUCCUCGGCUCAGAUUGAACGCUGGCGGAAUGCUUUACACAUGCAAGGUCGAACGGUAGAGGGGGCAACCCCUUGAGAGUGGCGAACGGGUGAGUAAUAUAUCGGAACGUGCCCAGUCGUGGGGGAUAACGUAGCGAAAGUUACGCUAAUACCGCAUACGAUCUACGGAUGAAAGCGGGGGGACUCGCAAGAGCCUCGCGCGAUUGGAGCGGCCGAUAUCAGAUUAGGUAGUUGGUGGGGUAAAGGCUCACCAAGCCAACGAUCUGUAGCUGGUCUGAGAGGACGACCAGCCACACUGGAACUGAGACACGGUCCAGACUCCUACGGGAGGCAGCAGUGGGGAAUUUUGGACAAUGGACGCAAGUCUGAUCCAGCCAUUCCGCGUGCAGGAUGAAGGCCCUCGGGUUGUAAACUGCUUUUGUACGGAACGAAAAGGUUUCUAUUAAUACUAGGAGCUCAUGACGGUACCGUAAGAAUAAGCACCGGCUAACUACGUG